UUUUCCUUUAAAUGAAAUCUUAAGAAAUCUUCUAUUGCCCACCCCACAUACAUGCACAUUAAAUGUUGUUUUUGCGUGUAGGAUAAGAUUUUGAAAAACAAUUAACUGCAGCCUUAGGAUGGAAAUUGUAAGCAACUAAUAAUGAAGAAAAAUAGGCAUGUUCAUUGGGAAUGGCUGAUAUAGGAAAUAAAAUGGUAAACCAGUAUGAAAAGAAAACAAUGUAACUCUUACUUCUUGCAAUAAAAAAAUUCAGUGAUCCUGAUUCCUUUAUAUCUCCCACUGGAAAUUAUGUAGCAUAUAUUGAACAGAAAACGUCAGUGGGCUUUAAAGGAAUUUUUCGUUCAUGUACUUUUUGUUCAUAUGGUACAUAUAACAAGGCUAACAUGACAAGA
Long non-coding RNA from Stegodyphus dumicola, 392 nucleotides. Lineage: Eukaryota; Metazoa; Arthropoda; Arachnida; Araneae; Eresidae. The record is from RefSeq and is a predicted model, not a curated record.